UAAUACGUAGGGUCCGAGCGUUGUCCGGAAUUACUGGGCGUAAAGAGCUCGUAGGUGGUUUGUCGCGUUGUUCGUGAAAACUCACAGCUUAACUGUGGGCGUGCGGGCGAUACGGGCAGACUAGAGUACUGCAGGGGAGACUGGAAUUCCUGGUGUAGCGGUGGAAUGCGCAGAUAUCAGGAGGAACACCGGUGGCGAAGGCGGGUCUCUGGGCAGUAACUGACGCUGAGGAGCGAAAGCGUGGGGAGCGAACAGGAUUAGAUACCCUGGUAGUCCACGCCGUAAACGGUGGGUACUAGGUGUGGGUUUCCUUCCUUGGGAUCCGUGCCGUAGCUAACGCAUUAAGUACCCCGCCUGGGGAGUACGGCCGCAAGGCUAAAACUCAAAUGAAUUGACGG
Molecule: ribosomal RNA, 398 nt
Filed under: uncultured bacterium
Lineage: Bacteria
Description: bacterial SSU rRNA
Rfam family: Bacterial small subunit ribosomal RNA
Source: RNAcentral